GGUAAACCCCACUCGGAGCAAGACCAAAUAGGAAUCCAUUGGCGUGGUCCGCGCCGGAUUCGGGUAGGUUGCUUGAGGUAUGUGGUGACGCAUACCCUAGAUGAAUGACUGUCCACGACAGAACCCGGCUUAUAGGCUGACUCUUUUA
Molecule: RNase P RNA, 148 nt
Filed under: Pseudomonadales bacterium
Lineage: Bacteria; Pseudomonadati; Pseudomonadota; Gammaproteobacteria; Pseudomonadales
Description: partial RNase P RNA component class A
Rfam family: Bacterial RNase P class A
About the family: Ribonuclease P (RNase P) is a ubiquitous endoribonuclease, found in archaea, bacteria and eukarya as well as chloroplasts and mitochondria. Its best characterised activity is the generation of mature 5'-ends of tRNAs by cleaving the 5'-leader elements of precursor-tRNAs.
Source: RNAcentral